Molecule: transfer RNA, 74 nt
Filed under: Candidatus Falkowbacteria bacterium CG11_big_fil_rev_8_21_14_0_20_39_10
Lineage: Bacteria; Candidatus Falkowiibacteriota
Description: tRNA-Gln
Rfam family: tRNA
About the family: Transfer RNA (tRNA) molecules are approximately 80 nucleotides in length. Their secondary structure includes four short double-helical elements and three loops (D, anti-codon, and T loops). Further hydrogen bonds mediate the characteristic L-shaped molecular structure. tRNAs have two regions of fundamental functional importance: the anti-codon, which is responsible for specific mRNA codon recognition, and the 3' end, to which the tRNAs corresponding amino acid is attached (by aminoacyl-tRNA synthetases). tRNAs cope with the degeneracy of the genetic code in two manners: having more than one tRNA (with a specific anti-codon) for a particular amino acid; and 'wobble' base-pairing, i.e. permitting non-standard base-pairing at the 3rd anti-codon position.
Source: RNAcentral
UGGGAGAUCGUCUAAAGGUAGGACGACAGGUUCUGGUCCUGUUAAUCUAGGUUCGAGUCCUGGUCUCCCAGCAA